GACGAACGCUGGCGGCGUGCCUAAUACAUGCAAGUCGUGCGGACCUUUUAAAAGCUUGCUUUUAAAAGGUUAGCGGCGGACGGGUGAGUAACACGUGGGCAACCUGCCUGUAAGACUGGGAUAACGCCGGGAAACCGGGGCUAAUACCGGAUCGUUUUUCCUCCGCAUGGAGGAAAAAGGAAAGGCGGCUUCGGCUGCCACUUCCAGAUGGGCCCGCGGCGCAUUAGCUAGUUGGCGAGGUAACGGCCCACCAAGGCAACGAUGCGUAGCCGACCUGAGAGGGUGGUCGGCCACAUUGGGACGGAGACACGGCCCAAACGGCCACGGGGAGCGGCCGUAGGGAAACGGCCGGAAUGGGCGGAAGUCAGACCGAGCAAGGCCGCGGGAGGGAAGAAGGCCUUCGGGUCGUAAAACUCUGUUGCCGGGGAAUAACCAGCGCCGUUCGAAGAGGGCGGCGCCUUGACGGUACCCGGCCAGAAAGCCACGGCUAACUACGUG
This 498-nucleotide ribosomal RNA is filed under the name uncultured bacterium. Its description in RNAcentral is "partial 16S ribosomal RNA". It matches the Rfam family "Bacterial small subunit ribosomal RNA", at positions 28 to 507 of the family's 1533-position model. The record is from RNAcentral.